UACGUAGGGUGCAAGCGUUGUCCGGAAUUAUUGGGCGUAAAGAGCUCGUAGGCGGUUUGUUGCGUCGGCUGUGAAAUCCCGAGGCUCAACCUCGGGUCUGCAGUCGAUACGAGCAAACUAGAGUGUUGCAGGGGAGACUGGAAUUCCUGGUGUAGCGGUGAAAUGCGCAGAUAUCAGGAGGAACACCGGUGGCGAAGGCGGGUCUCUGGGCCUUACCUGACGCUGAGGAGCGAAAGCGUGGGGAGCAAACAGG
RNAcentral lists this ribosomal RNA (253 nucleotides) under uncultured bacterium. Its description in RNAcentral is "partial 16S ribosomal RNA". It matches the Rfam family "Bacterial small subunit ribosomal RNA", at positions 524 to 776 of the family's 1533-position model. The record is from RNAcentral.